RNAcentral lists this ribosomal RNA (253 nucleotides) under uncultured bacterium. RNAcentral describes it as "partial 16S ribosomal RNA". It matches the Rfam family "Bacterial small subunit ribosomal RNA", at positions 524 to 776 of the family's 1533-position model. The record is from RNAcentral.
UACGUAGGGGGCAAGCGUUGUCCGGAUUUAUUGGGCGUAAAGCGCUCGCAGGUGGUCCGAUGCGUCGUGCGUGAAAGACCCCGGCUCAACUGGGGGGUGUCGUGCGAUACGGUCGGACUGGAGGCCAGUAGGGGGAUGCGGAAUUCCGGGUGUAGUGGUGGAAUGCGUAGAGAUCCGGAGGAACACCAGCGGCGAAGGCGGCAUCCUGGACCAAUAUUGACGCUGAGGAGCGAAAGCCAGGGGAGCAAACGGG